AAAUUGGUACCAGUAAAGUGGGGUACUGCUAUAAAGAUACCUGAAAAUGUGGAAAUGGGUAACAGGCAGAGGUUAGAAGUUUAGAGGGCUCAGAAGAAGACACAAAAAUGUGGGAAAGUUUGGAACUUCCUCAAGACUUGGAGGGCUCAGAAGACAGGAAAAUGUGGGAAACUUUGGAACUUCCUAGAGACUUGUUGAAUGGCUUUGACCAAAAUGCUGACAGUGAUAUGGACAAUAUUUGUCCAGGCUAAGGUGGUCUCAGAUGGAGAUAAGGAACUUGUUGGGACCUGGAGUAAAGGUCACUCUUCCUAUGCAAAGAGACUGGCGGUAUUUUGCCCCUGCCCUAGAGAUCUGUGGAACUUUGAACUGAAAGAAAUGACUUAGGGUAUCUGGCAGAAGAAAUUUCUAAGUGGUAAAGCUGUUCAAGUGGAAGUAGAGCAUAAAAGUUUGGAAAAUUUGCAGUCUGAUGAUGCGAUAGAAAAGAAAAACCCAUUUUCUAGGGAGAAAUUCAAGUUUGCUGCAGAAAUUUGCAUAAGUAAAGAGGAGUGGAAUGUUAAUCACUAAGACAAUGGGGAAAAUGUCUCCAGGGAAUAUUAGAGAACUUCAUAGCAGCCCCUCCCAUCACAGGCCUGGAGGCCUAGGAGGGAAAAAGGGUUUGUGGGCUGGGCUAAGGGACCCCUGCUCUAUGCAGCCUGGGGACAUGGUGCCCUACAUCCCAGCUACUUUAGCUCCAGCUGUGGCUAAAAAGGGCCAACCUACAGCUCAGGCCAUUGCUUCAGAGGUUCCAAGCCCCAAGCCUUGAUAGCUUACAAAUGUGCUGGGCCUGUGGGUGCACAGAAGUCAAGAAUUGAGGUUUGAGAACCUCUGCCUAGGUUUCAGAG
RNAcentral lists this long non-coding RNA (881 nucleotides) under Homo sapiens (human). RNAcentral's name for it is "non-protein coding lnc-DDR1-3:1". Lineage: Eukaryota; Metazoa; Chordata; Mammalia; Primates; Hominidae. The record is from RNAcentral.